GAGGAGCGGGCCGAGCGGCGGGCCGGAGGCGACGCGCGAUGUCGAGCGGGGCGGCGGGCAGCGCCGUGUCGGACCCCCAGCACCCGGCGCGGCUCCUGAGGGCGCUGAGCUCCUUCCGCGAGGAGGGCCGCUUCUGCGACGCCCACCUGGUGCUCGAGGGCGCGGAGAUCCCGGUGCAGACCAACAUCCUGGCGGCCGCCAGCCCGUACAUCAGAACAAAACUGAACUAUAAUCCUCCAAAAGAUGAUGGUUCCACAUAUAAAAUUGAACUUGAUGGGAUAUCUGUUGACAUUAUGAAAGAGAUAUUGGACUACAUCUUCAGUGGCCAGAUCAGGCUAAGUGAAGACACAAUUCAGGAUGUUGUACAAGCUGCUGAUCUGUUGCUGCUUACAGACCUAAAAACUCUAUGCUGUGAGUUCCUAGAAGGCUGCAUUGCUGCUGAAAACUGUAUUGGAAUUCGGGACUUUGCACUGCAUUAUUGCUUGCACCAUGUGCAUUAUCUUGCUUCGGAAUAUCUGGAAACGCACUUCCGGGAUGUCAGCAGUACAGAAGAGUUCCUGGAAUUGAGUCCUCAGAAAUUAAAAGAAAUACUGUCUUUAGAAAAGCUGAAUGUUGGAAAUGAAAGAUAUGUUUUUGAAGCAGUCAUUAGAUGGAUCUCCCAUGAUCCUGAAUUAAGAAAGGUUCACAUGAAGGAUGCAGUGUCAGCUGUGUGGGUAUCUGGGCUAGACUCUGCCUACCUGCGUGAGCAAAUGAUGAGCGAGCCAUUGGUACGGGAGAUUGUCAAGGAAUGUAGCAACAUCCCACUCACGCAGCCCCAGCAGGGGGAGGCAAUGCUAGCCUCUUUCAAACCUAGAGGAUACUCGGAGUGCAUUGUGACAGUUGGCGGUGAAGAAAGAGCAUCCCGGAAACCAUCAGCAGUAAUGCGAUGCAUGUGCCCCCUUUAUGACCCCAACAGACAGCUGUGGAUAGAACUAGCCCCUCUGAGUACUCCCAGAAUAAAUCACGGCGUGCUUUCAGCAGAAGGGUUCCUGUUUGUGCUUGGAGGUCAAGAUGAAAAUAAAGUCACUUUGAGCUCUGGAGAAAAAUAUGAUCCAGACACUAAUUCAUGGAGCUCGUUGCCACCAAUGAAUGAGGCACGGCACAACUUUGGUUUGGUAGAAAUUGAUGGAGUUUUGUAUGUUCUGGGAGGUGAAGAUGGCGAACAGGAGCUCAUCUCUAUGGAAUCCUAUGACAUUUAUAAUAGGACGUGGACAAAACAACCAGACCUGACCAUGAUUAGAAAGAUUGGUUGCUAUGCAGCUAUGAAGAAGAAGAUCUAUGCAAUGGGUGGUGGUUCCUAUGGCAAGCUCUUCGAAUCUGUUGAGUGUUACGACCCAAAGAUCCAGCAAUGGACAGCUAUCUGUCCACUAAAAGAGAGAAGGUUUGGAGCUGUGGCAUGUGGAGUUGCUUCAGAGCUCUAUGUGUUUGGUGGGGUGAGAAGUCGUGAUGAUAAUCAAUCCAGCGAGAUGGUGACCUGUAAAUCAGAGUUCUAUCAUGAUGAAUUCAAAAGGUGGAUCUACUUAAACGAUCAGAAUUUAUGCAUCCCAGCCAGUUCUUCAUUUGUAUAUGGAGCUGUGCCCAUUGGUGCUAGCAUUUAUGUGAUUGGAGAUCUUGAUACAGGUACCAAUUAUGAUUAUGUUCGGGAGUUUAAAAGAAGCACUGGAACAUGGCAUCACACGAAGCCGCUCUUUCCAUCAGAUCUUCGCCGUACUGGAUGUGCAGCUUUGCGUAUAGCAAACUGCAAGCUUUUCCGGCUCCAGCUUCAACAAGGGUUGUUCCGCAUCCGUGUUCCUUCACCUUGAGAGCGUGUCAGAAAGCUGAAGAGAUGGGAGGAACCUGAGAGUCCACUAUAACCAUAUAGCUUUAUGUAAGGGGGAAACAAACAUCUUGCAGCAGGAUCUCAAACUGUAUGCUCAGCUCUGAUGGGUUUUCUCAAGUUGCAUCUCAGUUCCUAAGAUGAUGUUAGUCAAGAACUAUGAAACGAUUACUGUAUGUUUUCAAGAGGUCCUGUCUCAAUUCCAUAGCUAUGAAGCAAGGUAAGAUAGGCUGCCAAUAGCCAAACAUAAUGAAGGCUGGAAGUUAAUGAGAAAGAAACUGAAAAUUUGUCAAGCUACUUAAAAUUCUUAUGCAAAAGAAGGGAUGCAAACCAUGGUGUUAAACACAUCAUUAUGCCUUUAGUGUUUUUUGAAACCCCGGCACUUUUUUAAAAUGGCUGUUGCUUGCCUAGACUUGCCACAAAAGGGAGAAGAGAUGGGACCACUUCUGCCCUAUGCUGCUGUUUCAUGAAAAAUCACCUUCUUCAAGCUGCUGUUUGCCCUGAAACAGUAAAUAACAUAAAAGAUGGUGAUUCUUUUAGCAAGCAAACAGCACUGGGUGACUCCCCCCCCCACACACACACACACAUACACACUGUGCUUGUUUUCUGGAUUGAGAUCUUCUCAUAGCUGCUGUUUUUCAAAAGUGAAAUGACAGUGUUCAACAUUACAUCUAGUUUACAUCUACCUUGAGUAGGUUUUCUACUAUUACGCAUAGGCAGUUGAAGGGGAAGUGACUGUCAUCGAGAGGAACACCUGAGGUUCCUUUUCUCAGCAGUGAACAAUAUUAACACAGCCUUCUGCUCGACUAGAGAACUCCUCUGGUAAGCUUUGGGAAGGAAAGCACUAUUUUGAACUGUCAGUCAUAUUUUUGUUUUAAAAUUUUGAAUUACCUACUUCCACCCCUUACAGUUAAUGCACACUUACCGUGAAUUCAAAUACUUUUUUGUGCAUUUCUAUACAAAUCCAUAAUGGGUGAAAGUAUUACAAGAUGACGAUUCUUAUUGUGUUCAUUUUAUACUACCCCGUAGACAAAGCUCUCUUUUUAUGUAUUUCUGUGAUGAGGGGAUUAUAAACAAUAAUAUCUUUAAACCUCCUUAUUCGACUUACCGUUUGUCUUGGAGCUAUGCAAUUUUGGGUUGUGUACUUUUCUGGAAAGGGCUAUAUAGACAGGAGAAAUUCCUUUUAAAUAUGUGUGCUUCCUACAAGGGCAGCCCACAGGGAGUUAGUGAAGUAAUUGUGAUUCGGUGGCAACACUCACUGGUUUGCAUCCUGUUGACGGUUUAGCAUUUCCAGUCAGAACGACAAGCUUCGGGUCAAAAGGCAGCUCUGCAUUUGUUUCAGGCGAAAUGACUUAACACAGAUAUGUGUAGGCAGGCAGACUGGCUUGUCAUAUUUCGUGUUUGGGCUACAAGUUCUUGUGAACAUAUUGUAAGAUCAGCACAUUAGCCUCUGGACAAAUAAGUCCUUUGUGAGGUUUGUUGUAUUGGUAUUGCUUUAUUAGUAUUUUGGUCAACUUGAAUGAAAUUCAUAGUAGUUAUGCUCUGACGUUCGUGUUAAUCCGAAAAUUACAAUCCAGAGAAACUUGAUACACAUCUAAGCUUUGUUGAAAUAAAUGGAAAAAAUACUGUAAGUUUAUAUAUGCACCUCUUUUAAUGAGAUAUGAACACACCUAAUUUUCUUUCUUUCAGCCCUUUUCAGAUGGGCUCAAAAAAAAAAAAUUAGAUUUAAAUCUCUUGGUUCUUUUACUGAUUGAAAGAUGUAUUCGAUUCUAGGUUUUACGUUUUUGUGAUUUUGUUCACAUGCAGCCAGCCAAAAGGUAAUUCAAUGUUUCUUAUGCUUCCAACACAUACACAGUGUGUACUAAUAGCAAACAGGUUAUUUAAGGAAACGUACAAUUUUGUACUUGUCAAAAGUGGCCUUUUUUGGGAAAGCACACAGUAUAUAGAUUAACAUUGUGUUGAUGUGUAAUUUCAGAGGAUUUUUCUUUUUUGUAUUGACAGAAUUUAUAUGCAUUUUUUUCAAGCUAAUAAGCUCUUUCUUUAGAGGUAUACAGGUUAAACGGGCCAAAAGUCUACAUUUCCAUUACUCUCCAUAUGUAUUGCGAAUAGCUCCAUGUUCUUCAUCACUGGGGAAUGAACACAAGGACCAUUCUCUAGCAGUGAAGAAUUAUUAUUAUUAAUAUUAUUAUAUUACAUUUCUAGAGUGGACUGCCUGCUACCACAGGAUUUGUAUACAAUAUGAGCUUCACAAAGUGUUUGGUUAGAACUAUUGCUUUGCAGAUUAUGAGGCUCUUAAUCUUUUUUUUUAAUAUCCAUAUAAGCAGGAUAGUUUAUUGUAGGCACAAAAUAAAACUUUUAGACACUAGUUGUAGAGAACAAUCACAGAAGCGCUUGGGAGCUGAUGAGAGAGAUUUGUAGCUGAGGGGUUGGGUUGCCAGACCCCAGCAAUUUAGACAAACAAGUUGUUGCUGUACAUGACACAAAUGUAUAAGAUUUAGUCUGUUCAUCCAUUGAUGUUUACAGUUUAACUGCUGGAUUUUGGAAAGCUCUUUUUUUGCCAUAGCUGCAGUUAUGAAGCUGUCUUUAAUGUUUAACAUGAACCAUCCAAAAUCACUAAUGAGGUGGGGAUUGGAAUUUGACAAGAAGCCCUAAGUGUACGAAGUUCCAUAUGUGGAUAUCUUCCAUGAGUUAGUGCACAAUUUAUUUUAGUCAGUGGAUUUCAUUAGAUGUAGUUUGAGAAAAGGUUCGUUCAAAUUGCAAGCUGAAUAAUUAAAUGAUUAAUGCGGGAACAUAUUUCAGGGCUAAUUGUAACAACGAGAUACGGAUGUAUCUUAAGUUCUUUGUGCAAUGCGACAGUACAGUUGUUUGCAAUUCUAAAACUGUAAAUUGCCAAUAUUAAUAAUACCCUUGACGCUGUCAGCACUAAUACAAUAUCCUCUGCAAACUGUAAAGGAAGUGUUACUUUUGUUUUGUCAACGCGGUUUGUUCAGGUGUCAUACUUCUCCACAGUGAACUCCUAGAAAUUAAAUACACCAUCAUACUUGUUGCCGAAGAUUAAACUAAAAUGUGAAAAUAUAGGUAGGGAUUAUGAAGUGCCAUAGAAAAUAGUUUUGUAUGGAGUCAGUCCCAGACAGGGGACUUUCUACAUUGACUGACAGCAGCUUUCUGAAGAUCUCAGGUUGACUUUGCCAGCUGAGAUUCUGUCACCACCUGCCUAGAAAAUCAUGCAGGAGGAGUUUCAUGGAGCUCUUCCUAGAAAGCUGCUAUUUGUGUACCUACUCCUUGUUUACCUUUUGCAAUUUAUUGACUAGUGUUGGUCUGCAUACUACGGUCGUUUUUCCCGUCAUGGAGUGAACCCUAUCCCCAUAAUUGCUUUCCCUCCCCACAAAAAUAAGUGAUUCAGAACUAGCAAAAUCUGCCAAAGGAUUCCCAAUCAAUAGGAUUCCCUAUUGUUAUGACAUCUGAACAAAUCUAUAGUUAACUGUGUGUAGCUUGUUUGGGGGUUUUGUCCUUUUUUUGUGGCUUAAGGGAUGCUUUAACCCUUAAUAACCUGGACUUCAAAACAGAAUCUAUAUAAGAACUGCUAUGAAUGUUGUGCAUGCUAACUUGUAUGGUUAUAUUUGAAGAAAAUAAUGUGCAAUUUUAACAGCACUUUGUGAUCGGUUAGUAAAACUGGGCUUUGCAAUGGAACAUGUGAUAUUAAUGCGUAAUGAAUAAGUAGUGUUGUCUGUACUGUUUGUAUAUCCUUUUCAAGUGUUUCAGCAAUGACUUUUUCAUGGGACCCUGAUAAAUCACACUUAAUUUUUAUUAAUUAAUUUUGAGAAAUGGUGGCUCGAUCCAGUGAUACACCCACAGAACUCAAUAACUGCAGGGGCUUCCCCAUCGUAAGACAAGUGAAAUGCUAAUAAUUUAACAAUAGUUACAGAACUGCUCCAGGGCUCGGGGAAGUCCAAACCAUUAGGCAGUGUCCAUUCUUUCUGUCUGUCCAAAUAGGAACGCUUCAAAAGCUUCUGGAAAACUUUCCCUGGGAUAGAAAAGUUGCUUGAUUUGAGCACUGUGGGGGCACCAUCAACCCCCCCCCCCCCGCCACAUACUGCUCUGCCUUUUUUGUCACUCUUCAGUCAUGGAACAGAUGAGAGCUCUGCAUGAGUCAGAAGGUUCAGGGUGCUGGAUCAUGCCCCGUGUAUGCAAAUUGUUUGUUUUAGGAUCGUCUCGUCUGCCCUUGUGUUCACCAGUUCGUUUUCAUGGAAGAUCUGACAUAACAGCAAUUUUUUAAAAAUUAGAAUUACUUUAUUCACAUUUGUAUACUUUUGAGGUUUACAUAUUCUAACAAUGCGAAAAAAGGAUACAAAAUGGUUCAUGGAAUAAGUAGCACUUUGUUUACAUGUUCUGUAUAAUGUUGGGCAAAUAAAGGGUUUUUAAUUUUUUAUUUUAAUUUAAAGCACAUGGAUUGUGCUGUGGGGGCUUCGUAGCCACUGUGCAAAUUGUGGCGUAAUAUUGUACUAAGGAUCAGUGAAAGUGUGUUAUCUUUUUUAAUGUAGUUUGUAUUGAUCGGGUUUUAUAAAAUGUAUGAAAAAGAGUGUUGUAUUUUGAUCUGACAUUUGUGUAUGGUAAAGUCACUUUGCUUUAUGUUUUGGAGGUUUGUUGAAAACUUGAACUAUUUUAUAGAAGGGUGCAGACCAAAAUUGAGUUGUCUUGAAGAUGUUUAACGAACUAACCAAAUAAACAUUUUAUGGUUUGCAUACA
This is an RNA transcript of Varanus komodoensis (Komodo dragon), 6601 nucleotides long. It is a transcript of the gene named gigaxonin, with no coding region annotated. The record is from RefSeq and is a predicted model, not a curated record. The transcript has 12 exons. Lineage: Eukaryota; Metazoa; Chordata; Lepidosauria; Squamata; Varanidae.